This 381-nucleotide ribosomal RNA is filed under the name uncultured eukaryote. Its description in RNAcentral is "partial 18S ribosomal RNA". It matches the Rfam family "Eukaryotic small subunit ribosomal RNA", at positions 592 to 976 of the family's 1831-position model. The record is from RNAcentral.
CAAUAGCGUAUAUUAAAGUUGUUGCGGUAAAAAAGCUCGUAGUUGGAUUUCUACCGAAGAUAGCCGGUCGGGUCUUCGACCUUGUAUCUGGUUUUGUCUUUGGUAUCCUCAUAGGGAACGUUUCUGCGCUUUAUUGCGUGGUGCGGUAUCUAUGACUUUUACUUUGAGGAAAUUAGAGUGUUCACGGCAGGCAAACGCCUUGAAUAUAUUAGCAUGGACUAAUAACAUAGGAUCUUCGUCCUAUUUUGUUGGUUUCUAGGGCUAAGAUAAUGAUUAAUAGGGAUAAUUGGGGGCAUCUGUAUCAACGCGUCAGAGGUGGAAUUCUUGGAUUGCGUUGCGACAAACUACUGCGAAAGCAUUUGCCAAGGAUGUUUUCAUUGA